This 464-nucleotide ribosomal RNA is filed under the name uncultured bacterium. RNAcentral describes it as "partial 16S ribosomal RNA". It matches the Rfam family "Bacterial small subunit ribosomal RNA", at positions 339 to 795 of the family's 1533-position model. The record is from RNAcentral.
CUACGGGGCGCACCAGUGGGGAAUAUUGCACAAUGGGCGCAAGCCUGAUGCAGCCAUGCCGCGUGUAUGAAGAAGGCCUUCGGGUUGUAAAGUACUUUCAGCGGGGAGGAAGGGAGUAAAGUUAAUACCUUUGCUCAUUGACGUUACCCGCAGAAGAAGCACCGGCUAACUCCGUGCCAGCAGCCGCGGUAAUACGGAGGGUGCAAGCGUUAAUCGGAAUUACUGGGCGUAAAGCGCACGCAGGCGGUUUGUUAAGUCAGAUGUGAAAUCCUCGGGCUCAACCUGGGAACUGCAUCUGAUACUGGCAAGCUUGAGUCUCGUAGAGGGGGGUAGAAUUCCAGGUGUAGCGGUGAAAUGCGUAGAGAUCUGGAGGAAUACCGGUGGCGAAGGCGGCCCCCUGGAUGAAGACUGACGCUCAGGUGCGAAAGCGUGGGGAGCAAACAGGAUUAGAUACCCGUGUAGUC